RNAcentral lists this ribosomal RNA (260 nucleotides) under uncultured bacterium. RNAcentral describes it as "partial 16S ribosomal RNA". It matches the Rfam family "Bacterial small subunit ribosomal RNA", at positions 793 to 1055 of the family's 1533-position model. The record is from RNAcentral.
GUCCACGCCGUAAACGAUGAAUGCUGGUUGUUGGUCUUUAAAGAUAAGUGACGACGUAAACACGAUAAGCAUUCCGCCUGGGGAGUACGAUCGCAAGAUUGAAACUCAAAGGAAUUGACGGGGACCCGCACAAGCAGCGGAGCAUGUGGUUUAAUUCGAAGCAACGCGAAGAACCUUACCAGGUUUUGACAUAGGAGUGACCGGAUCAGAGAUGAUCCUUUUCUUCGGAACACUCCAUACAGGUGGUGCAUGGUUGUCGU